This 530-nucleotide transfer RNA is filed under the name uncultured Bartonella sp. RNAcentral describes it as "partial 16S-23S ribosomal RNA intergenic spacer". The stretch from base 17 to 90 matches the Rfam family "tRNA". Lineage: Bacteria; Pseudomonadati; Pseudomonadota; Alphaproteobacteria; Hyphomicrobiales; Bartonellaceae. The record is from RNAcentral.
ACGGAUUUACUCCCGAGGGCUUGUAGCUCAUUAGGUUAGAGCGCGCGCUUGAAAAGCGUGAGGUCGAAGGUUCAAGUCCUCCCAGGCCCACCAAUUUAUGAUUGCUGAUAAAUUUGCUGAAAAGUUUUUUGUGAAUGUUUUGAUGGUCUUUUAUCUUACGAUCUUUCACGUUUAUGUUGCAAUCUUUCAAAAGUAUUUGAACUGUUUUAGGGGCCGUAUCUCAUCUGGGAGAGCACCUGAUUUGCAAGCAGGGGGUCGUCGGUUCGAUCCCGUCCGGCUCCACCAUCUUUGGUUAUCAUCAUCGUUAAAGAACAAUGUUUUGCAAUAGAUCUGUAGAUCUUAAGUCUAUCAUCUAUUGCCUGUUCUAUUGAAAUUGUGAAGAGAAGAUAUAUUCAGACAUUACUGUUUUAUUCAGCUAUUGUUGUUGUGUUGUUGCUUUGAAUGUUUAAGUCUCUCCUUUAAGGAAUGACAAAAAGCUUAAAAACACAACGCUAGUUUAAAAACACAACGCUAACAUUGUUAAACAAUGU